GACGAACGCUGGCGGCGUGCCUAAUACAUGCAAGUUGAGCGCUGAAGGUUGGUACUUGUACCGACUGGAUGAGCAGCGAACGGGUGAGUAACGCGUGGGGAAUCUGCCUUUGAGCGGGGGACAACAUUUGGAAACGAAUGCUAAUACCGCAUAAAAACUUUAAACACAAGUUUUAAGUUUCAAAGAUGCAAUUGCAUCACUCAAAGAUGAUCCCGCGUUGUAUUAGCUAGUUGGUGAGGUAAAGGCUCACCAAGGCGAUGAUACAUAGCCGACCUGAGAGGGUGAUCGGCCACAUUGGGACUGAGACACGGCCCAAACUCCUACGGGAGGCAGCAGUAGGGAAUCUUCGGCAAUGGACGAAAGUCUGACCGAGCAACGCCGCGUGAGUGAAGAAGGUUUUCGGAUCGUAAAACUCUGUUGGUAGAGAAGAACGUUGGUGAGAGUGGAAAGCUCAUCAAGUGACGGUAACUACCCAGAAAGGGACGGCUAACUACGUG
This 497-nucleotide ribosomal RNA is filed under the name uncultured bacterium. RNAcentral describes it as "partial 16S ribosomal RNA". It matches the Rfam family "Bacterial small subunit ribosomal RNA", at positions 28 to 507 of the family's 1533-position model. The record is from RNAcentral.